CAAUUGUAUCGAAAAGAUUAAUACUUGAUUAUCAUAAUAAAAUGUGUUGUUUUUAUUGAAAAUUAUUAAAAGGACAAAUAAUUUUGCUUUUGUUUCAUUUAUUUCCCGACAAAGUUAUUUGCCAUAGGUUUCAUCUUUGAUGUGCGCCAAGUAAUAAGUAAGAGUGUGGUCAGCUUGGUAAAAUGUUUAUGUAAGAGACAUGAAGACAA
This 209-nucleotide long non-coding RNA is filed under the name Mytilus galloprovincialis (Mediterranean mussel). The record is from RNAcentral. Lineage: Eukaryota; Metazoa; Mollusca; Bivalvia; Mytilida; Mytilidae.